AUUAAAUUACCACUCAAGCAUCUAAGAUUUAGUGGUCUGGCAUCCUACUAAAGGCAGCUGUUUUCAAUUGAUACAAAAACAGUGGGAAUGAAAACCGAUUUAUAAAAAAUAAUUUUGUAUAUAAAAUAAUUUAUGUUACCUAUAUGCAAUGUAAAAUUGAUUCGACAUGCCCAGAAAAAAGCUUUUAAAUGCUAUGAGUGAGAGGAAGAAGCGGCAAGAUAUAACACAGGAUAGGCAGCAAAUAUUAAAUAGUCCGCAUUCAAAACAAGACAACAGCACUACUACAAUUGAUACCAGCAAUGAUCAACCAGUAGUUGUGAUAAAAAAUGAAAAUUUUGACUCCGAUGAUGAUAUACCGUUAACACAAGUUAAAAGACACAUAAAUACCAACGAUGAUUUUUUCUCUAAGCGAAGGAAACUCGAACAACCGGUUUAUAUUAAACCUGAAGAAUGCUCAUCCUCUUCGCCGCCUCAAUAUAUAAAGACAGAAGAGUUUACUGAAGGCUCGAACCCAGAAGUGAUUGAUAAUUUUAUAAUAUACGAAAUAAAUGAAGUAAAUUCUUCAAAUGAACUCAAUACUAAACGUAAAUCUGGCACAAUUUUAAAAAGUCAAAAACCAGAAAUUGCAGAAGCACAAUGCUUACCACCAGCUAAUAGUUCAGAAAAUUUAACGACGGUUUGGACCAUUUCGAAAGUAAAUCGAACGCAAAAUGCAACGCAAUCAAAAAAUUCAACUACAAAUGCUAAACUGUCCAACCGAACAAUCGCUAAAAUACAUAAUUUUUCGGAAAUACCUGGAACAUCUACUUCUUCCAAACAGAAAGCAUCGAGCGUUAGAAAAAUAGCUACUACAAAAGUACACGACACUCCUAUUAGAAAAGUAAUAACAAGCUUCGACGAAGUAACGAAUAAAUGCACUUGUCGCCUAAAUCCAAUGAAAGACGUUGAUAUGUUUAGCAAUUUAGAAUUAAAAGAUUUCUUCGAAAGAAUGUUUGAGGAGGCGCGUAAAUUAAAAAUCGAAGCUCGUCAAACGGUAAAAACAGAACUGCUGAAAGCAGUUUCCCAAGCUGAGGAGGAUGUAGAGGCUGGAAAGUUUUGUGAAAAGUGUUACACAAUAAGAGCACAACCAAAGAAGAGAUACUGAAAGCUGACUGUGAACAUUUUAAAUUACAUGAUGCAUUUACAAAACAAAUUACGCUAUUUGGCUGCAGAGAAUGCAAAGAACUUCUACGAUUCACCGAGGAACAGUUAUAUACCCAAAAAGGAUGAUUUCAGUUCGUAUAUGUAAAAAACGAACCGAACUUUCUUUUCAAAGUUGGAAACAUUAAAUUGAGGACUCCAUAAUAUCCAAUAGAUAAGCAUGCGAGGUCAAUGGCAAUCUUUUUAUGGAGUUGGGUCUGUUCAACCGGAGCGAGUCCUUAUAUAUAUUCGUUGACGGACCAAUAGGACGCUAAGUUACGGGAGUUACAUAUGCUCAUAUGUAUUAUAAACAAGUAAGGAAAGGCUAAGUUCGGGUGCAACCGAACAUUUUAUACUCUCGCAAUUUAUUUAGAGAUUUACCUAUAUUUUCGGUGAAAAUUACCCUUAGGUACUGAGUUCUUCAUGUUUGACAUCAGGGGCCUUGAAAAGUCAUGGAUCGAUUUUGAAAAUUUUUCCACAAGUGAUGUCACAGCUCAAAUACAGUAUUUAUGUAAAGUUUUAUCUCGCUAUCUCUAUCGGUUCCUUAUGUAUACAUUAUAAAGUGAACGAAUCAGAAGGAUUCAAAAUUGAGUUAUAUGGGAAGUAGGCGUAGUUGUGAACCGAUUUCGCCCAUAUUCCACCAGUGUCAUCAGGGUGUCUAUAAAAUAUUAUAUACCUAAUUUCAUUGAAAUCUGUCGAGUAGUUCUUGAUAUAUGGUUUUUGACCCAUAAGUGGGUGACGCCACGCCCAUUUUCCAUUUUGUAAAAAAAUCUCAGUGCAGCUUCCUUCUGUCAUUUCUUAUGUAAAAUUUGGUGUUUCUGACGUUUCUCGUUAGUUAACGCACUUUUAGUAAUUUUCAACCUAACCUUUGUAUGGGAGGUGGGCGUGGUUAUUAUCCGAUUUCUUUCAUUUUUGGACUGUAUAAGGAAAGGGCUAGAAGAAACGACUGCAGAAAGUUUGGUUUAUAUAGCGUUAUUGGUUUGCAAGAUAUAUACAAAACACCUAUUUGGGGCGGGGUCACGCCCACUUUUCCAAAAAAUUACAUUCAAAUGUGCCCCUCCCUAAUGCGAUCAUAUGUACCAAAUUUUAUUUUCAUAACUUUAUUUAUGGCUUAGUUAUAGCUCUUUAUGUGUUUUUGGUUAUCGCCAUUUUGUGGGCGUGGCAGUGGUCCGAUUCCGCCCAUCUUCGAACUUAACCUUCUUAUGGUGCCAAGGAAUACGUGUUCCAAGUUUCAUUAAGAUAUCUCAAUUUUUACUCAAGUUACAGCUUGCACGGACGGACAGACGGACGGACGGGUUUGAACUUUACUCGUCACCCUGAUCACUUUGGUAUAUAUAACCCUAUAUCUAACUCGUUUAGUUUUAGGACUUACAAACAACCGUUAUGUGAACAAAACUAUAUACUCUCUUUAGCAACAUUUGUUGCGAGAGUAUAAAAAAGUACUCUUAACAGAAAUUAGCUGUUCGGGAAUGACUUCGAAUAUGUAAGACCAUCAUUUUGUAGAAUAAUGUCAAAACGCUGCCAAAAAUAGGGCGAAAACUCAAUCAAAGAGGAAAAUAGUAAUUAUAAAUAUGUAUCUAUAUACGUAGAUUUUUUAAAUUAUCUAACCAUACUUAUUCUGCUCCCUCUAACAAUACUGUAAUUUCGAUAUAAUUUUUCCACGAACCCUAAGGAGACAGACCUCAAUAUACUAUAAAUAUGUAUACGUAUGUAUACGGGUACAUUGGUAUACAUUUAUGAUUAUUUACCCGACCCUAGUCACCUUCAAAAGAACGUUCUGGCGUUCAGGGUGUGUUCCCUUGUCAAACAAAAGUUUAUGUACAUAUGUAUGUAUAUAUGUUUAUAAAUAUGUAUACUCACAUUUAUCUGGUUUUGUAUAUGUAUGUUCGGCCGUGCACAUAGGGGAGUUGACAAAUGUGGGUUUCAGUUCAGCAGCUGGCUUGAGUGCGGUGCUAUCGCUAAGGGAUAUCAGAUUCAAGCAUAGUUUUUAUAUGGGCUCGUUGUUACUUCUGUUGCCGUCAUUGUACUCAUUCGGAUAACUUUUGAAAGUAAUGCUAUUAUCGCACGAGUAUCGUCAGUUAGUUUUCGUUGUAUAUUUUCAGUAUGAAAGUGUGACUCUCUAUUUUAUAUAAUGACAUCGUGGAGGAAAAUUUAUUUUAGAGUUUACGACAGUCAGCUUCUAUUUUAGAAAGGAAUAUAAAUGCGUAUUUGCAAUGAUUCGUUUAGUCUUAUGUGCCUCAGUUAUCAAUACUGCAUACAUAUAGGGUUUUAAUUUAAUUUUAUGUAUUUCGGAAAUUUGGUUAUAUGUUUUGUGGAAAGAACUAUUCCUUGAAAAGCAUAUUUUUUAGAAAUAUUUAAAAAGAUAAAAUUUGUCAAAACGCGUAUGACGAACCAUUUUUGAACACUUCUGCUCAAAAUUUUUCUAAACGUAUAUCUCAUGAUCCAUAUUAUAUAGUGUUAAAGAAAGCUAAGUACUUUUCAGGCAAUAUUGAAACUCAACUAUCUUGCCGUAUCACAAAAUCGAGAGGGUACUGACUUCCAAACCUUUCUGGUUUGCUGCCAAUAUUUGACUAUUUAUUUAUGUUAAUUUAAUUGGAAAAAAAAUAUUAUACAAGUGACAACCCUUCUCAAAAAUAUAUCUUCAGUUGUAAUAUUCGGUAUACUUCUUAGUUUGUUGGCAAUGUUUAAAAUAAAAAAUAAAAAAAUCGAAAAGUGGCAACCCUUUCAAAAAAUGUAAACUCUUGUGAACGGCAGGAACGGUACUCAAUUUCUUAGAAAUCAAUUAAUUUUAUUGACGGACCUCAAAAACUUUCUUUUUCACAGUACAUUUGUUUGCCCGAAAAUAGUUGAAACCCUUUUCAAACAACUCAAUGACCCAAAGAAAUCACAAAUUCAAAAGAGUUCUAAAUUGUUGGACAAUGAUUUUCAACCUUCUGGGAGACCUCUCCCUCGUUUUCUUUAGAAACAUACUGCAUUUUACGGAGAAUCUGUUUCUACAUACACUAAGGUACCUAAAACAACAGAUAUGCAUUCAAGGGCUUCAAAUAUAUUUUCCAAGGCCAGUUACACCUUUACUACCUACUUUAAACACAAACAUCAUUCGCAUGCAUAGAUAUUUGUAAAUGUAUAAUUUCAUUAUUGCAUACAAAAACCUUCAUUAAAAUUAUUGAAAUUUUUCAAAGCUAUUCUUCUUUCAACAUGCUUCGCUAUAGAAACAUAAUUCAGUAAAAUUCAUUUAUUAUAUUAAACAUUAGUACAUACUAAUAUAUACCACAGAUUUGUAUAUAAACGGCCCCUUUCGAAUGCAGAAAACUACCGAAGAAGAAAGACCAUCAUUUGUUAUCGGCCAUCACAAAAGAGAGAUAGAUGGAUGAGAUUAACAUCAAACAAGUAGAACUAAUGAAAUUCAGACAGAGUUCUGAGUUAAUACCAUUAUAUAUACAUAUACCUUUAUUUAUAUCAAUACUAUAUAUAUACAUAGAUUGAUAUAUACAUAGAUUGACAAAAACAACACUCGGCUUGCGUCGUCACCAAUUCACCAAAUCGCACAGAAUGGUAAUUCAACCUGACAAAACUUUCCACCCUCACAAAAGUUUGGCUCAAUGGUUCGGACAACAUUGGGCAUACAAAUAAAUAAAUAGACCCGCAGCUACCGCCAACCGACCCGCUGAACAAUGUACACAACCAUCAAUGGUGGAAAGGAACUUUUGGUUUUACUGCUCACAAGGACUUUUUCAUUCCUUGAAUUUCAGGGUUUCAGCUGGCCAGUUGUGGAUGAAACUCAAUAUGCGAAUACAAAAUGAGUGUCUGAAAUUUACGCUAAAGUCCCAAUGAAUUGAAGGCAGUAAUAGUAGAGUAUAAAACAAAUGAGAACCCAUUAAAGCAGAAUUCACCACCAACGGGUUGCCUAGCAGUUGUGUAUCUACCGACUGGGUAACUACAUACAAGGGUAUAGCAUAGACUUGUUAUAUAGAAAAUAUCUCAAGUUACUUUGGAGAGUUCGUUAACAAGCCAACUGUGGGUACACAUACAUUCAUAUACAUAAAGACCAAGUAGUGUGCCGAAGUUGUACUGAAUUUUUAAUGAGAGUAAGUUGAUGGGAUCAGCUUUUGUAAAACAUUUCGUAAGCCUUAUUCUGAUGGACAUUUUUUAUUAUUGUCGCUGAGGGACGAGUACACUUAUAUUUUUUUACAUAACGUACUCGGUAGUCUUGAGAUUGGUAUUCGAUGGAUUCACUUUACAUUUGUUUUCUAAUUGAAGAUUCUCUUCCAAAAGUGAGUACAUCAUUAGUUCAAAACCAAUAUUUGGCGCUAUGGUGCUUUUUAAGGCCGGCUAUUCAGCAAAAUAUAUUCGUUUUGCUUAUAUAUAAAAAUCCUAUCCAAACACUACUAUAUCAAUUACAAGUUAUAACUUCUCGAUUUCAAAUUUUAACGAUUUUCAAUGGGCUGGUAAAUAAACAUAUGUAAAUUAUUUUUUAGGGUUGUAACUCUGCAUACAUUUAUUUGAAGACUUAAAAAAGAAGAAAACAAAUUUACAUAUUUGUUGUUGUUGUUGUUUUUUGUAAUCAAACAAAAGCCCUUCUUUUCGGCGGCGCUGUGAUUUCCGCUCACUGGAACAUCUGAAACCAAAAAUUCCAACGGGAUUAGAGAGAGCACUUGUUUGGCUCUGGUAUGAAGUAGGAUUAUUAAUUUCGCACAAAAAUUAGCAGACUUUUGAAAA
Molecule: RNA transcript, 5898 nt
Organism: Zeugodacus cucurbitae (melon fly)
Lineage: Eukaryota; Metazoa; Arthropoda; Insecta; Diptera; Tephritidae
Exons: 5
Source: RefSeq, a predicted model, not a curated record